Molecule: long non-coding RNA, 370 nt
Filed under: Mytilus galloprovincialis (Mediterranean mussel)
Lineage: Eukaryota; Metazoa; Mollusca; Bivalvia; Mytilida; Mytilidae
Source: RNAcentral
GCAAUUUUAAGAAGAUUUUGCAGCUUUUGGUUAUUAUCUUGAAUUGUAUCAAGAAAGAGAUAAACUGUAAACAGCAAUAAUGUACAGCAAAAUAAGAUCUAAAAAUAAGUCUACAUGAACAAAAUGGUCAAUUGACCCCUUAAGAAGUUUUUGCCUAAUAAAGUCAAUUUAUAUCAAUUUUACAAAAUAUUUUCCACUGCAACUACUGGGCCAAUUGCAAGUUAAUUGAAGAUAGAGAUAAUUGUAAGCAGCAAGCAUGUUCAGUUAAGUUAGACCUACAAACUCAUCACCAUCACCAAAACACAACCUUUGUCAAAGAACAUAUUUGUCCUUAGUUUAAUAUUCACAGUGACCAAGGUGAGCGACACAG